Molecule: long non-coding RNA, 1128 nt
Organism: Chinchilla lanigera (long-tailed chinchilla)
Lineage: Eukaryota; Metazoa; Chordata; Mammalia; Rodentia; Chinchillidae
Exons: 4
Source: RefSeq, a predicted model, not a curated record
UAUCAGGUCUUUAUUUUUAGUUAAAGAGCAUAGAAUUCAAUGCCUUUCCUCCCACGAGCCUAUUUACAUACCUGCUGUGCUACCUAUUUGCCUUCACCUGCUUCCCAAUUAAUACCCCAUUAAGCUGCUCCACCUGCAGUGGCUUUUACCUUCGCCACAGCCUUGAAACCAUCACUCAUCUGCUUCAGCUCAUUGUUUCUUUUGGGAAGAUAAACGAAAGCUCCACGAACAACAAUGGCAGUGCUUUGCACAUACAGGAUGUGUGUUCAUAAAAGACAGUAGCCAGAAGCUGUGGGCACCUCUGGUCAAGAAAAUCACUAGUUGGCCAAAAAUUCUAGAGUAGUGAAGCUGGUAUUGUGGAAGAUCAGAGGGGAAGACAUGCCCAUCUUAAUUAUUCAGAACUGCAGAGGAAAUCCAGCUACAUCUUCAUGAUGCUGGGCACCAAGCCACCUUUCCCUGGGGGUGCUCUCCACCUGGCUCCUGUCCCCAGGAUGCUGUGAGCCCGUGCAGGCAGGAUUCUCAGUGGAUAGUUCAUGCUGGAUAAUGACUCAGGGAGAGACGCCAAGGAAAUGUCUGUGUGUGUCGAGGGGGUAUAUUCCAAAAGGAGUGACGGACAUAUGUGAUAUUUCACUGCAGGUCUCAGGAGAUACAGAGAACAUGCCUGGUGCUUGCAUCCGGAGGUCUCCUGGGGACUUGCCUGGGGCAGAUCUGCAGAAAUGGCUUGCACAGAGCUGUCUGGCCCCGGGGGAAGGAGGGCAUCUGUUGGAUCCUCUGGCAGCUCUCAGUCACCAAAGCAAAGGUCAAGCACAUCUGUGAGACCACUGGAAACUUCAGGGUCAUCCUGCAUCACUGCAUCUAAAAAGGCAUGUGGAGAGGCAUCCUUUCUUCCAAAAGAGGCCAGCUCGUGCCUCUACUGCCAACUCCCCACCGCAAGGGCUACCUGUUUUAUCAAGACAAAAGAAAUCGCUCGCACCAAGCGUGACUCUGUCACCACAUGUCACUUCACAUCAGCUGGUACAUGUCAAAGAAUGACACAGAAAGCUGCCACCUGCCAUCCUCUCGCAGAGCACAUCAAACUUCUUUUUGUAAAAUACUUCAACAGCAGCCAAGAGAAAAUUUCCUUUAUGA